Molecule: long non-coding RNA, 586 nt
Filed under: Helianthus annuus (common sunflower)
Lineage: Eukaryota; Viridiplantae; Streptophyta; Magnoliopsida; Asterales; Asteraceae
Description: sRNA HanXRQr2_Chr14g0669641
Source: RNAcentral
UCUUUUUUAAGUGCAGGACCAAAUUCGCAAUUUACUCUUUCCAGGAGACCGGAAAAGGACUCUCUGUUGGUUGACAAAAGAGGCGAUGUUGGUGUAUGUGAUCAUGAAAAAAAGAGAGAUUGAAUCUUAAUCGAUGCUUACCAAUGGAGAUGUUCUCUCAAGUAAGGAUCACUUGGACUCAGUGCAUCAGGGUCGGUCAAGAUCUUCAAGUAAAAAUAGAUCAGUACUGUUAAUAGAUUUAGAUUUAAGAUGGAAUGUUGUGUGAAAUUAAUCAAACUGAAGAUGGAAUGUUGCUUGUGGAUAACAUUUUUAUGUGCACAUACACAUACACAUGAUCGUGCUCUAAACAAGCCUUCAUUAGGUCUUAACUGGUCGUUUGUUCGUCUCUAAUAAAGACUACAAACAUCAAUGCAAAGGAGAAACUUGUGAUCGAGCUGGACUUUCUUUAUUAAUAUAUUUUUCUGUGUGUGUGUGUGUGUGUUUUAGUAUUUCCAAGUGGGUUUUAUAAUUGUAUUGUUAUAUUUUUUUGUGUGUGUUUUAUUAGUAACAAUGGUUUGGUUAUUUAAUGAAAAGUUAAACUUUGAUA